CUCUGGUCCUUCCCGCCAUUUCAAGUCUAACAAACCCUAAUUCAAUCACAUUACUAAGGUGAGCAAAAAUAAAUUUCACAUAUACACACUUAGCAACUUCAACAAUUAUCAAAACUUUCACUUUCAUACACUCACAAUACAUAAUUCAAUUAAUCAUCAACUUGUUGAUUAACACAUACAAAAAUCAUAACAUUAUAACAACACACAUAAACACCCACAAACAUUGACCCCAAGGUAUUAUCGCAACCUUGGCUCUGAUACCACGCUGUCACGACCCAAAUUUCGGGCGACCCAAAAUUUGACCCGUGACCCCAGGUCAAAGGUUUGACCCUAGACCCUAGGUCAAAGGUUUGACCCUAAGGGUUCCUCCUAUUCCAUGUUGGCAGUCAACCAAAACACUCUGGAUUUUUUUUUUUCAUACAUCUCACUAGAAUUCUCAUAAAUUACAAUAUCCCAAACCUACUCAAAACAACAAGAUUAAAUAAAUAUUCAUUAUAGUCCAAAAUAAAAGUUCACAAUUAACAACUUAAUCAAAUAAAGCUUCAUAGCAAAUCCAUGAGUCAUAAUUGCUAAAACAAAUCCCCAAAAUCCAAAAAGGAACACAAUAACAAAUAAAUGCCACGCUCCACUAGGCCGCUCCAGGAGCAUCCUGAAGUCCUCCCUGUCCCACCUGUGGAUCCUUAGGAGAGAUAUCUGCAUCUAAAAAG
Molecule: long non-coding RNA, 707 nt
Filed under: Vitis vinifera (wine grape)
Lineage: Eukaryota; Viridiplantae; Streptophyta; Magnoliopsida; Vitales; Vitaceae
Description: long non-coding RNA (VVIN_LNC000842)
Source: RNAcentral